Molecule: non-coding RNA, 30 nt
Filed under: Homo sapiens (human)
Lineage: Eukaryota; Metazoa; Chordata; Mammalia; Primates; Hominidae
Source: RNAcentral
GUCAACUUUGGUUCCUUGGGUAUUGCUGGC